AACCUACCUUCCACAGGGGGAUAGCCCCGGGAAACCGGGAUUAAUACCGCAUGACACAGCGGGACGGCAUCGUCCUGCUGUCAAAGCUGAGGCGGUGGAAGAUGGGCAUGCGUGCCAUUAGCUAGUUGGCGGGGUAACGGCCCACCAAGGCUACGAUGGCUAGGGGUUCUGAGAGGAUGGUCCCCCACACUGGUACUGAGACACGGACCAGACUCCUACGGGAGGCAGCAGUAGGGAAUAUUGGGCAAUGGCCGAGAGGCUGACCCAGCCAUGCCGCGUGCAGGAAGAAGGCCUUCUGGGUUGUAAACUGCUUUUAUCUGGGAAGAAAACGCCCCUGCGGGGGUAACUGACGGUACCAGAUGAAUAAGCACCGGCUAA
Molecule: ribosomal RNA, 378 nt
Filed under: uncultured bacterium
Lineage: Bacteria
Description: bacterial SSU rRNA
Rfam family: Bacterial small subunit ribosomal RNA
Source: RNAcentral